AACGAACGCUGGCGGCAUGCCUAACACAUGCAAGUCGAACGAGACCUUCGGGUCUAGUGGCGCACGGGUGCGUAACGCGUGGGAAUCUGCCCUUGGGUUCGGAAUAACAGUUGGAAACGACUGCUAAUACCGGAUGAUGACGUAAGUCCAAAGAUUUAUCGCCCAAGGAUGAGCCCGCGUAGGAUUAGCUAGUUGGUGAGGUAAAGGCUCACCAAGGCGACGAUCCUUAGCUGGUCUGAGAGGAUGAUCAGCCACACUGGGACUGAGACACGGCCCAGACUCCUACGGGAGGCAGCAGUGGGGAAUAUUGGACAAUGGGCGAAAGCCUGAUCCAGCACUGCCGCGUGAGUGAUGAAGGCCUUAGGGUUGUAAAGCUCUUUUACCCGGGAUGAUAAUGACAGUACCGGGAGAAUAAGCUCCGGCUAACUCCGUG
This 433-nucleotide ribosomal RNA is filed under the name uncultured bacterium. RNAcentral's name for it is "partial 16S ribosomal RNA". It matches the Rfam family "Bacterial small subunit ribosomal RNA", at positions 29 to 507 of the family's 1533-position model. The record is from RNAcentral.